Capsicum annuum is the source of this 1044-nucleotide long non-coding RNA. RefSeq lists it as uncharacterized. The transcript has 2 exons. The record is from RefSeq and is a predicted model, not a curated record. NCBI's taxonomy places the organism in Eukaryota, Viridiplantae, Streptophyta, Magnoliopsida, Solanales, Solanaceae.
UUAUCCCUCAUAAAAGAAUAAAAAUAAAAAAUUCCCUAACAAAUUUUAUUCUAUCCUAACCCCCUUUACACCUUAUCCUAACAACUUAUCCUAACCACCUACCCCUAUCCUUACCCCCACCUCAUACCCACGUGUACCCCUAUCCCACCUUUCUCACAUUUUUUCCUUCUUAACCAAUUCAAAAAAGGGACCAAAAAAAAAAGAAAAGGAAAAUUAUCUACACAGCAUAAUGGAUUCCCAUUGAAUACAUGGGCCCACGGGAUUUACAAAGGGGCUCUCACAUUUUUGGCACUCUCACAGAAUAUAUACAUACACCAUCAUCUUCAUCAGAAAGGAGAAUAUACACACACAGGGAGCUGAGAGAAAAACUCCAUGGAAGACGACACUCCCACAGGUGUAGAUGCAUACACACAUAGAUGAUAAUACACAUACAGCUCACAAUUCAUCUCCUUCGUACAAAAGCACACAAAAAUCACACCACAGAGAGAUUGAGAGGGAGAUCGUGAGGUAGUGAGAGAGUAAAAGAGUAAGAGUAGCACAGAGAGAGGGAAAGAAACGGAAGGGGUUCGAGGGAGAUCUCGAGAGAAAGUAGUAAGUCGGCUCAAUUUUAGCGUCGCUCCGGAGAUACCCUUUACUGAAGUCGACUCUCUUUUUCCGACUUGACCGACUAACCUCAAAUCACCAAAAUUCCCUCAUUUUCUGGGGGUUUUCCAAGAAAAUUUGACUCGAAAACUUCUAAACUUGCCAAAAAACGUUAAAGAUUAUUGGAAUUCGUUCCCUUUCUAGCUAUUCUUGCCAUUGUUUGCAUCUACCAGGGUUUUGAGCAUGCAGUUUCUUCUGGUUUCAUCAUAUUUUGGUCUCAGGGAAUGCCUGAGGUUUCAUGUAUUUAUUCACCGGGGAAUGCUCCGAAAUAUCAUGUAUUCUAAGGAGGCUUGUGAUCAAGGAUCGAGGCAUUGGGUAAAGCAUUGGAGAGUAGUUUAGGAUUAGUGUAGGUUUACUUUUCAGUACCUUUUUAUUUUGGACUGUAUAAUUGGACUGACACUA